AAAAAGCAGAGGGAAAAGAGAAGCAAAAGUUCAAUCGGCAGGGGGGAUUGGACGUUUACUGUUCAUCCUCUUCCCCCUGCACUCGCCGGAAUUUGCUGCCUGCAGACCGACGGCUCCUUUUCUGCUUCAAUCCGGCGACGCUCAAGUUCAAUACCGGAACCCGACGGAAAGCCCCCUGAUCCGCCGGCCCCUGUUGCACUGACGCUCGCCUCACAACCGCCCUGCUGCCGACGCCACCCUCGUCCGAGUACCAGCACCAACGCCGCUCCCCAUCGAGACACCACCGGCUGCCCGCGCACCUCAACCCAUGAUCUGCAUCUCAGCUCGCCGCCGGUGAAACCCCUCGCGACGCCGGACUUGCACCCGAAGCCCCGCCAACGACCCAGCGACGCCGGAGCCCCUCUGCAGAUCCCACGACGGCCCCGC
Molecule: long non-coding RNA, 426 nt
Filed under: Eucalyptus grandis
Lineage: Eukaryota; Viridiplantae; Streptophyta; Magnoliopsida; Myrtales; Myrtaceae
Description: long non-coding RNA (EGRA_LNC007561)
Source: RNAcentral